CCUACGGGAGGCAGCAGUGGGGAAUAUUGCACAAUGGGGGAAACCCUGAUGCAGCGACGCCGCGUGAGUGAAGAAGUAAUUCGGUAUGUAAAGCUCUAUCAGCAGGGAAGAAAAUGACGGUACCUGAGUAAGAAGCCCCGGCUAACUACGUGCCAGCAGCCGCGGUAAUACGUAGGGGGCAAGCGUGAUCCGGAUUUACUGGGUGUAAAGGGAGCGUAGACGGCAGUGCAAGUCUGGAGUGAAAGGCGGGGGCUCAACCCCCGGACUGCUCUGGAAACUGUACGGCUGGAGUGCAGGAGAGGUAAGUGGAAUUCCUAGUGUAGCGGUGAAAUGCGUAGAGAUUAGGAGGAACACCAGUGGCGAAGGCGGCUUACUGGACUGUAACUGACGUUGAGGCUCGAAAGCGUGGGGAGCAAACAGGAUUAGAUACCCCAGUAGUC
Molecule: ribosomal RNA, 440 nt
Filed under: uncultured bacterium
Lineage: Bacteria
Description: partial 16S ribosomal RNA
Rfam family: Bacterial small subunit ribosomal RNA
Source: RNAcentral